This 1017-nucleotide long non-coding RNA is filed under the name Fukomys damarensis (Damara mole-rat). Its description in RNAcentral is "lncRNA (ENSFDAG00000029646.1)". The record is from RNAcentral. Lineage: Eukaryota; Metazoa; Chordata; Mammalia; Rodentia; Bathyergidae.
ACGGCUCUUUCCCCCUAAAGUAAACAAGGAAGCAUGUGGUCCUGGCAGAUGAAGUCAGCCAUUUUGUGAUCCUGAAGAUGAAAUUGGCUUUUCAACUUGAGCUACAGCUGUAACCAAAUCAUAACUGAAACUGCCUCUCCCUCUAGACUUUUCAAUUAUGCAAGAUGUAAGGCGAGAAUCCGAGCAUCAGGAGGGAGUCCUUGGCUUCGUCCAACUCUUCAAGGGCCCGGUCCAGAAAACACAGCUGCAUGCAGAUGAUGUGUGAAAGCAAGACCUGCCGGAAACAGCCCAUGAGUGUGAACAUGCACCAUAGAAGAGAGCCCCAGCAUUGCAGAUGCCAUCCAGGAGUCCAGCAUUCAACAGAGCCAUGUACAACAUGAAAGGGAAAUGUGUGCACCAAAAGUGCCUGGCACUGACAUCCUUGUCGUCUUCCUCUUCCUUGAUCCUGAACCAGAGUCCAUCCCAGAGCCUCCGUGCUGGUGGCUUUGUCUGACAGCUAAGUGCUGACCAACCAUCAUGCUUACCGAUGUCCUCGAAAUCCUACCCUUCCGCCAGAUCCGCAUUGCCCAUCUGUUUUCAUCUGCUCUGACAAAGUUUUGAUGACACCACACAGUCGUCAAAGGUACUUGGUACCUGGCACAGAUAUCCGGAGGGGAUGCAGGGACCACUACACCCCAACACAGCACCUGGGGAAACUCCUGAAGACCCUAAGGCGACAGAUGUCCUGUCCUACACACAGAGGGAGGAGGCCGAGAAGGCUCUGAGCCACGUGUCUUACUAAGUGUCCCCUGGACUAUCACCCUUAAGUCAAACUUCCUUUUUGUUUAAUCACACUUCUGUACAACUGUCCCUUCUUGAUUAAAGCUAAGCAUAAAAAGACACCAUGUUCUCUGGGUCUUUGGCUCCAGUGUCACUUAGGACUUUGGUUCAACAGGUUUUCUCUUGUUAACCCAUCAUUUGUUAUAGGGGUGUCAGAGUGAACCUUGCAAUGGGUGAAAAUAAGACAAAAACUUCCCC